Molecule: ribosomal RNA, 253 nt
Filed under: uncultured bacterium
Lineage: Bacteria
Description: partial 16S ribosomal RNA
Rfam family: Bacterial small subunit ribosomal RNA
Source: RNAcentral
UACGAAGGGGGCUAGCGUUGUUCGGAUUUACUGGGCGUAAAGCGCGCGUAGGCGGAUCACUAAGUCAGGGGUGAAAUCCCGAGGCUUAACCUCGGAACUGCCUUUGAUACUGAUGAUCUGGAGAUCGGGAGAGGUUGGUGGAACUCCGAGUGUAGAGGUGAAAUUCGUAGAUAUUCGGAGGAACACCAGAAGCGAAGGCGGCCAACUGGCCCGAUACUGACGCUGAGGCGCGAAAGCGUGGGGAGCAAACAGG